Molecule: non-coding RNA, 349 nt
Organism: Firmicutes bacterium CAG:240
Lineage: Bacteria; Bacillati; Bacillota
Rfam family: transfer-messenger RNA
About the family: Bacterial tmRNA, also known as 10Sa RNA or SsrA, is named for its dual tRNA and mRNA-like properties. Its role is to liberate the mRNA from a stalled ribosome.
Source: Rfam
GGGGAUGAAAGGAUUUCGACGGGGAGGUUGAACUUCGGUAAGCGGGCAGCGGUGUGGGACCGCUAUAAAACCCAUACGUUUAAAUAAUAAACGACAACAAAACAGUUUUACAAGCUGCUUAAAUAGCAGCCGUCUUUGCCGGGAGUACUGCGGCCCGGUACAAGGCGUCGAUUAGCAGUGAACGUGCACGGGUGAGCGCUCCGUAACCCGUCAUGAACAACGGAACUACCGAACCGCUGAGCCUGCCUGACGGCGCUCCGGCGAGGGAAUCUUAAAAGACAGGCUACGCCCGUAGAAAGCUGUGGGGAGCCCUUUUCGGACGCGGUUUCGAUUACCGCCAUCUCCACCA